AUGAGGAUGUCUUACCCUUCAAAGGCAGUCGUCACGUCUCCCCCCAUUUCCAUAAUGAAGCCUCCACUUCCCAGACCCAAGCCUAACUCCUUCCUGCCCUCAUUGGCUGAAUCAAAAAGAGAUCCUUCAGUUCACAUCAAGCUCCCAACUCCGAUCCCCAGGACGUCUCGAUUAGCCAACCUAAAGGAAGCUUCCCAGAGGUACGUGUAUCUAAAGAUCAAUUCUAACUUUCAAAAGGGUAAAUCUGAAGUAUUUUAUAUUUAUGUUCAGUUUG
RNAcentral lists this long non-coding RNA (274 nucleotides) under Gouania willdenowi (blunt-snouted clingfish). Its description in RNAcentral is "lncRNA (ENSGWIG00000013110.1)". Lineage: Eukaryota; Metazoa; Chordata; Actinopteri; Blenniiformes; Gobiesocidae. The record is from RNAcentral.